CAAAAGAACUUCCUCAGGGACCGCAGUAACGUGGUAUUUUUUUUUUACAGGUUACUUACAUUUAUUUUAACAGUACUGCGGUCCCUGAGGAAGUUCUUUU
Molecule: non-coding RNA, 100 nt
Organism: Pelobates cultripes (western spadefoot toad)
Lineage: Eukaryota; Metazoa; Chordata; Amphibia; Anura; Pelobatidae
Source: the annotation of a GenBank genome assembly